This is a long non-coding RNA of Lagopus leucura (white-tailed ptarmigan), 1163 nucleotides long. RefSeq lists it as uncharacterized. Lineage: Eukaryota; Metazoa; Chordata; Aves; Galliformes; Phasianidae. The transcript has 2 exons. The record is from RefSeq and is a predicted model, not a curated record.
CGAGCAGCACCAGAGCUGUAAAGCAUCGCUGCAGUUCUGCUCUGACACCCGGACACAGCCCUGCAGGACACAAACUGCUUUUCCACUCAGUGCUGAACGCUCCACUCUCUGCAUUAAGGACCCUCCACCAGCAGCAGCACAGCUCUCAGUAGCUCUGACUCCUCACAGCUGUAGCAGCAAAAGAUGCAGACAGUCACCUAGUGGGAAAUUUGGAACAUUUCUUCUUUCCUAUACCCAUGAAACACUGAAGUAUGAUGGAGAAGAGGAAAAGAGGAACUGAGGAGCUCCAAAAAGAAUAUGGUGAAAAGUCCUGCGCUGAGUGGCCCCAGUAGCUGGGAUGCCAGAUUAUUUUUUACUGCUUAAACAUGGCUCUAUAUAUGCUUGUCCCUGGGUUCCUACCCAGAAGCAAGAAGGCUUUGUCAGAGAGGAAAAGUUUCUUCCUGUGCUGGAGCUGAGUUCAGAGCACAGGGACGUGAAUCGUAUCAUAGAAUCACAGAAUGGCAUGGGUUGAAAAGGACCGAAAAACGAUCAUCUGGUUUCAACCCCCUGCCAUGUGCAGGGUCGCCAAUCGUGGCGAGGAAUCCUGCCGAGCUGACAGCCCGCAGAGCUGGGGAGGGGAGAGGAAGGGAAAGGAGGAACUCUGCUUAUGCGGAUGCUUGGCAGGUGCUCAGUGACAUUCGUUCCGUUGUCACAGCUGAUCCCUCCAGCAUAACCUGAAGCACCGAGUGAAAGAGAUCUCAAUCUGCACAAUGAAACCUGCCGUUCUCCCCGGCGCUGCCCACGGACUGCUUUACACUUUCUCCACUCUUUCCCCACUUGAGCCCAUUUCAAAUCACGGCGCUCCCAGCUGCAGCCCGCUGCUUUCCACUGCUGCACAAAACCAACAAGGCCUUGCAAAUAAAGGCAUGCAAAUACACACAGGCACACACUAACAAAAUGAAACACAACAUUUGCAGAAGUGCAUGCAGAUUUACCAAGCUGUGCACUUUACUUCUGUUUUCCUGUGACUCAGAGAAGAAGGAACAGGGCUUAAUAUUUUUAUACAUAUGACUGUAAUACAAAUACUUUGAAGACAUGUAUCUUACAGCAUCUCAGUGUGGACAUGUUGUACUGCACUAGGAAAAGCGAGGAAGCAUUUUUAUCCAUAAAAAUGCCAUUUGUGA